Molecule: long non-coding RNA, 1107 nt
Organism: Meriones unguiculatus (Mongolian gerbil)
Lineage: Eukaryota; Metazoa; Chordata; Mammalia; Rodentia; Muridae
Exons: 4
Source: RefSeq, a predicted model, not a curated record
AGGAUGAAAGCAACUAGAAGCGUGGGUUUGGAAGAGGCAGACCCGUUGAGGCCAUCUUCCUGAGGUCUGGAAGCAAGGAAGGACUUGGCAGCAGAAUUUGAAAGCUCAAGAGAGCUUCGGAACAGCAGCUCCACAGCCCCAUUUCCAGAUUUGACUUAUGUUAUGUUCGAAUGAAAUGUCUUGCUUCCUGAGUGCUGCUUUGCCCUCCCUUCACCACAGUAGCCACUCUUCUUCCAAAGCCAUCAAGGAGAAUUUGCUUGGUGGUCAAAUAGGCAUGAAGGUCUGGCGUUGCACAGCAUUUUUCAGCAAGAUGGUUGUGUGCAGAAAGCCCUCAGACAACUACCGGAAGGAAGAAACUGAAAAUAAAUACCAUCCAUUGGAAGCUUUGGAUUAUUUGCUUCUGUCUGUUGGGAAUCGACGUAUAAAAUGAAUUGGGAUGCACAGCUGUUUCCAGAAGACAAUUCAAUUGAACAGAACAACUCACACUUCAUAAACAGGCAUCCAGAGCUCUGGGAAGAUGACUCAAGAGCGAGAAGGAAGACCUGAGUUCAACACCCAGAAUCUGCAGAAAUCUGGGCCCAGUGGCACACAGCUGUAAUUCCAGAGCUUGUGGUGAGGUGGGAGGCAGAUGAAGAAUACUAGAAGCUGCAAGGCCAGCUAUCCUGGAGUACACAGCAAGGAAACAAAAGAGACCCAGUCCCAAACAAAGUGAGAGGGCUAAGGACUGAACCCUCAAGCCUCCCUCGGGCUGUCUUGCUGUUUCACAGAGCUCUCAGGCCAAGAGUUCAAAUGCUGCACUUCCAACAGCUCACUAGUGAACUCUGAAGUCAUAUCCCAUGACUAGAGAAGAAUGAAGACAAUUUCCUGUGCAUUUGGCAGCAUAAUUCAGACAAAAGGAUGGUCAACAAGGUAUUUUUAAAAAUGGGGCCUUGAGAACUAAUUAUACUACAGCUUUGGACCAUGUGACAAUAUAAAUCUUUCUGCCUCUCUGAACCUUAGUUUCCUAAUCCACAAAAUUGACUACAUCUGAAUUUGAUAGAACAUACAUGACAACAUUUUCAAACAUGUUAAGGUGCUAUACAAUUGUACAACAAUUAUGAACUAAAA